This 529-nucleotide long non-coding RNA is filed under the name Sinocyclocheilus grahami. RNAcentral's name for it is "lncRNA (ENSSGRG00000009500.1)". The record is from RNAcentral. Lineage: Eukaryota; Metazoa; Chordata; Actinopteri; Cypriniformes; Cyprinidae.
CGCACUUGUUGAGUUUGGGAACUUUCAGAGGCUUGAACUUCUCACUUUGGACGCAGCGGAGCUCUCACCUCAUCAUCAUUAUCAUCAGAUUCAGGCGACGUGGAUGUAUGCUGACUUUUUCGUCUAGGACUAUGUUUUGCUUUGUCGAAGUUGAUGUGGAUUGUCUUCAGUGUUUUACGCGUUAGACGCACACAGCGCGCGCGAGUAAUAAAGAACAUAACUGUGAGGAUGUGGAUGCGCCUUUAAUGCAUAUACAGAUUCAUAUCUGAAGGAGAGUUAGUGUUUGUGGGGCUAUUGGGAUAUGGCACUAUUUAUGGACUUUAAAUGCUCUCUAAAGGGACACUCGCUGGUGCAGUGAAUGGAGAACAUCGCAGCUUUGCCAAGAUGGAUCAUCAGCCCAAAUCCCAUGGGACGCCACAGCAUGCUGUCAUCUGUUCAGAUGGAGUGACAUUAGUCUGUGGUGUUCAAGCAUGGACGAGAUAAUCAAGGAGGCGCUCUGACGAGGCUGUGGAUGAGAAAAUCAUACGGG